Molecule: ribosomal RNA, 551 nt
Filed under: uncultured Glomeromycotina
Lineage: Eukaryota; Fungi; Glomeromycota
Description: SSU rRNA
Rfam family: Eukaryotic small subunit ribosomal RNA
Source: RNAcentral
UUGGAGGGCAAGUCUGGUGCCAGCAGCCGCGGUAAUUCCAGCUCCAAUAGCGUAUAUUAAAGUUGUUGCAGUUAAAAAGCUCGUAGUUGAAUUUCGGAAUCUGUCCAUCGGUCGGGCUUCAUUGUUCGUACUGGUGUGGUGGGUUCUUACCUUCUGAAUAACCAGCAUGCCAUUCACUUGGUGCGUUGGGGAAGCAGGACUAUUACCUUGAAAAAAUUAGAGUGCUCAAAGCAGGCCAGUGCCUGAAUACAUUAGCAUGGAAUAAUAAAAUAGGACGGCAUGGUUCUAUUUUGUUGGUUUCUAGGAUCACCGUAAUGAUUAAUAGGGAUAGUUGGGGGCAUUAGUAUUCAAUUGUCAGAGGUGAAAUUCUUGGAUUUAUUGAAGACUAACUUCUGCGAAAGCAUUUGCCAAGGAUGUUUUCAUUAAUCAAGAACGAAAGUUAGGGGAUCGAAGACGAUCAGAUACCGUCGUAGUCUUAACCAUAAACUAUGCCGACUAGGGAUCGGACGAUGUUAAUUUUUUAAUGACUCGUUCGGCGCCUUACGGGAAAC